RNAcentral lists this long non-coding RNA (355 nucleotides) under Mytilus galloprovincialis (Mediterranean mussel). Lineage: Eukaryota; Metazoa; Mollusca; Bivalvia; Mytilida; Mytilidae. The record is from RNAcentral.
AACUAAUACAAAUUAUCACAUAUUUGUUAUGAAUACCUUAGGUUUUGCAUAUGCAAUAACCUCAAAAUUGCCCGGGGCAAAAAAGAGAUAUCCAUAUUGUGCCCUGUACCUAAUGACGUGACGUCAUUGCAUCCUGAACGACACGUUUUUAAUAAAUUGUUUAAGAUUUUACCUUUUAUGUAUCAUUAAAUUGUUAUAAUUGAACUUUUUUCUCUUUUCUGUAGAACUUAAACAUGUGAUAAAAAGAUUAUAACAUGUCUUUUCCAUAUUGGCCCGGGUAUCAUCCCUCGACCCAUAUCGGCCCUCGGCUAAAGCCUCGAUGCCGAUAUGGGAGUCUCGGGAUGAUACCAGGGCC